Molecule: small RNA, 127 nt
Filed under: Marmota monax (woodchuck)
Lineage: Eukaryota; Metazoa; Chordata; Mammalia; Rodentia; Sciuridae
Source: RNAcentral
GCAGGGCGCGGUGGUGCAUGCCUGUAAUCCCAGCAGCUCAGGAGGCUGAGGCAGGAGGAUGGUGAGUUCCAAGCCAGCCUCAGCAACAUAGUGAGGCGCUAAGCAACUCAGUGAGAACUUGUCUCUA